AUCCAGUUGACGAGUCCGAAACGGGACGAAACGUGAGUCCUGGAU
Non-coding RNA from Schistosoma haematobium, 45 nucleotides. Lineage: Eukaryota; Metazoa; Platyhelminthes; Trematoda; Strigeidida; Schistosomatidae. The record is from Rfam.